UACGUAGGGUGCGAGCGUUAAUCGGAAUUACUGGGCGUAAAGCGUGCGCAGGCGGUUUUGUAAGCCAGAUGUGAAAUCCCCGGGCUUAACCUGGGAAUGGCAUUUGGGACUGCAAGGCUCGAGUGCGGCAGAGGAGACUGGAAUUCCUGGUGUAGCAGUGAAAUGCGUAGAUAUCGGGAGGAACACCUGUGGCGAAAGCGGCUCACUGGACCAUUACUGACGCUGAUGCUCGAAAGCUAGGGGAGCAAACAGG
Molecule: ribosomal RNA, 253 nt
Filed under: uncultured bacterium
Lineage: Bacteria
Description: partial 16S ribosomal RNA
Rfam family: Bacterial small subunit ribosomal RNA
Source: RNAcentral